AAAUUGAAGAGUUUGAUCAUGGCUCAGAUUGAACGCUGGCGGCAGGCCUAACACAUGCAAGUCGAACGGUAACAGGAAACAGCUUGCUGUUUCGCUGACGAGUGGCGGACGGGUGAGUAAUGUCUGGGAAACUGCCUGAUGGAGGGGGAUAACUACUGGAAACGGUAGCUAAUACCGCAUAACGUCGCAAGACCAAAGAGGGGGACCUUCGGGCCUCUUGCCAUCGGAUGUGCCCAGAUGGGAUUAGCUAGUAGGUGGGGUAACGGCUCACCUAGGCGACGAUCCCUAGCUGGUCUGAGAGGAUGACCAGCCACACUGGAACUGAGACACGGUCCAGACUCCUACGGGAGGCAGCAGUGGGGAAUAUUGCACAAUGGGCGCAAGCCUGAUGCAGCCAUGCCGCGUGUAUGAAGAAGGCCUUCGGGUUGUAAAGUACUUUCAGCGGGGAGGAAGGGAGUAAAGUUAAUACCUUUGCUCAUUGACGUUACCCGCAGAAGAAGCACCGGCUAACUCCGUGCCAGCAGCCGCGGUAAUACGGAGGGUGCAAGCGUUAAUCGGAAUUACUGGGCGUAAAGCGCACGCAGGCGGUUUGUUAAGUCAGAUGUGAAAUCCCCGGGCUCAACCUGGGAACUGCAUCUGAUACUGGCAAGCUUGAGUCUCGUAGAGGGGGGUAGAAUUCCAGGUGUAGCGGUGAAAUGCGUAGAGAUCUGGAGGAAUACCGGUGGCGAAGGCGGCCCCCUGGACGAAGACUGACGCUCAGGUGCGAAAGCGUGGGGAGCAAACAGGAUUAGAUACCCUGGUAGUCCACGCCGUAAACGAUGUCGACUUGGAGGUUGUGCCCUUGAGGCGUGGCUUCCGGAGCUAACGCGUUAAGUCGACCGCCUGGGGAGUACGUACCGCAAGGUUAAAACUCAAAUGAAUUGACGGGGGCCCGCACAAGCGGUGGAGCAUGUGGUUUAAUUCGAUGCAACGCGAAGAACCUUACCUGGUCUUGACAUCCACGGAAGUUUUCAGAGAUGAGAAUGUGCCUUCGGGAACCGUGAGACAGGUGCUGCAUGGCUGUCGUCAGCUCGUGUUGUGAAAUGUUGGGUUAAGUCCCGCAACGAGCGCAACCCUUAUCCUUUGUUGCCAGCGGUCCGGCCGGGAACUCAAAGGAGACUGCCAGUGAUAAACUGGAGGAAGGUGGGGAUGACGUCAAGUCAUCAUGGCCCUUACGACCAGGGCUACACACGUGCUACAAUGGCGCAUACAAAGAGAAGCGACCUCGCGAGAGCAAGCGGACCUCAUAAAGUGCGUCGUAGUCCGGAUUGGAGUCUGCAACUCGACUCCAUGAAGUCGGAAUCGCUAGUAAUCGUGGAUCAGAAUGCCACGGUGAAUACGUUCCCGGGCCUUGUACACACCGCCCGUCACACCAUGGGAGUGGGUUGCAAAAGAAGUAGGUAGCUUAACCUUCGGGAGGGCGCUUACCACUUUGUGAUUCAUGACUGGGGUGAAGUCGUAACAAGGUAACCGUAGGGGAACCUGCGGUUGGAUCACCUCCUUA
This 1543-nucleotide ribosomal RNA is filed under the name Escherichia coli. Its description in RNAcentral is "bacterial SSU rRNA". It matches the Rfam family "Bacterial small subunit ribosomal RNA". The record is from RNAcentral. Lineage: Bacteria; Pseudomonadati; Pseudomonadota; Gammaproteobacteria; Enterobacterales; Enterobacteriaceae.